GUCGGAUGCUUAACUGACUGAGCCACCCAGCACCCCCAGUAGGAAGGAAAAACUUGAAUUAUUUCCCCAUAAAAUUCACAGUAUCUUCUCUCCUUGAAUGUGGGCUGAACUCAGUGACGUGUCUUUGAAGCCUACAGUAUGGAAGAGAAAUAAAGUAUCUACAGAGAAGAAAUCUGGCAGAUACCACCUUAACCAGAUGAUCAAAGUUAACCUGAUAAUAAAUCAGUAAUAGAUUGAA
Suricata suricatta (meerkat) is the source of this 238-nucleotide long non-coding RNA. RefSeq lists it as uncharacterized. Lineage: Eukaryota; Metazoa; Chordata; Mammalia; Carnivora; Herpestidae. The transcript has 2 exons. The record is from RefSeq and is a predicted model, not a curated record.